This 253-nucleotide ribosomal RNA is filed under the name uncultured bacterium. RNAcentral's name for it is "partial 16S ribosomal RNA". It matches the Rfam family "Bacterial small subunit ribosomal RNA", at positions 524 to 776 of the family's 1533-position model. The record is from RNAcentral.
UACGUAGGGUGCAAGCGUUAAUCGGAAUUACUGGGCGUAAAGGGUGCGUAGGCGGUUAUGAAAGACGGAUGUGAAAUCCCUGGGCUUAACCUAGGAACUGCAUUUGUGACUACAUGGCUAGAGUGUGUCAGAGGGGGGUAGAAUUCCACGUGUAGCAGUGAAAUGCGUAGAGAUGUGGAGGAACACCGAUGGCGAAGGCAGCCCCCUGGGCUGAGAUUGACGCUCAGGCACGAAAGCGUGGGGAGCAAACAGG